CGCCCUCAGCGCGCACAACAACACUGAGUUCAACGAAAAAAUGUGAAACAUCGGCAGCACACACAGCACCACGUCGCCCACCCCAAUGUGCAUAUUAGGGUUUUCUCCAUCAACCUGCUGUGCCACACUGGACACCAAGCUCUUGUGCGUCAGCACCACCCCCUUGGGGAGUCCGGUGGUGCCGGACGAGAAGGGUAGGGCAACUGCAUCCUCCUCCGUGUUUAUGGUGACAAUGGGGACUGAGUUUUCGUCGGCUGAUGAUACUUCGGCGAAAGAGAUGCAGUUCUCGAUGUCACCAUCAAUGGUCACGACUGUCACCGGUGGGAAGCCUUCGGCGUGGAGUUUCUCGACGUACUGGGACUGGGUGACGACGAGCUUGGAGGAAGAGGCGGUGAACUGCUUGAGGAUUUCUGAUGGGGUAUAGAAGGGGUUGGCGGUGGUGGUGACGGCGCCGAGCAUGGAGGCGGCCAUGAAGGUGACGGCGAACUCGGUGCAGUUUUGGAGGAGUACCAUGAUGCAGUCGCCCUGUUUGAUACCGAGGGCGGCGAGGCCGGCCGCUGUGCGGCGGCAGAGGAGGUGGGUUUCGGAGAAGGAGAGGGUUUGGCCGGUGGGGGUGGAGAUGAGGCAGGGGGCAUCCGGCGAGGUGUGGAGCUUUUGGAAGCAGUAGGUAUGGAGGGGGAGGUGGUGGGGGAUGGGGAUGUCGGGGAGGCGGGAGCGGAAGAUGGUCGUCGGCGGCGGGGAUGGCGGGGAAGGUUUAGGGGAGGGGAGUUGGGUGUGGGAGUCGUGGGUGGCGACGGAGGCGGCCAUGAAUGGAGGAGGGGAGUUAGAAUUGGAGAGAUUGAGGUAGGG
Molecule: unclassified non-coding RNA, 849 nt
Filed under: Hevea brasiliensis (rubber tree)
Lineage: Eukaryota; Viridiplantae; Streptophyta; Magnoliopsida; Malpighiales; Euphorbiaceae
Source: RNAcentral